AACGAACGCUGGCGGCAGGCUUAACACAUGCAAGUCGAACGGUUGUAGCAAUACAGCAGUGGCAGACGGGUGAGUAACACGUGGGAACCUUCCUAGGGGUACGGAACAACUCAGGGAAACUUGAGCUAAUACCGUAUACGUCCGUGAGGAGAAAGAUUUAUCGCCCUUAGACGGGCCCGCGUCGGAUUAGCUAGUUGGUGGGGUAACGGCCUACCAAGGCAACGAUCCGUAGCUGAUCUUAGAGAAGGAUCAGCCACACCGUGACUGAGACACGGCCCAGACUCCUACGGGAGGCAGCAGUGGGGACUCUUGGACAGUGGGCGCCAGCCUGAUCCAGCCAUCCCGCGUGAGUGAAGAAGGUCUUCGGAUUGUAAGGCUCUUUUGCCAGGGACGAUAAUGACGGUACCUGGAGAAUAAGCCCCGGCAAACUUCGUGCCAGCAGCCGCCGUAA
Molecule: ribosomal RNA, 451 nt
Filed under: uncultured bacterium
Lineage: Bacteria
Description: partial 16S ribosomal RNA
Rfam family: Bacterial small subunit ribosomal RNA
Source: RNAcentral